GCCCAGCUACUCCAGACUUCUAUGCUUUGGUGGCCCAGCGGCUGGAACAGCUGGUCCAAGAGCAGCUGAAAUCUCCGCCCAGCCCAGGUGAGGCACAGAGGAGCCCCAGAGAAGGAUGGCGGUGGGAGGAUAGUCAGGGUUCUGCCCCCAGCCAAAUUCUCUUCUGCCUCCAGAAUUACAGGGUCCCCCAUCGACAGAGAAGGAAGCCAUACUGCGGAGGCUGGUGGCCCUGCUGGAGGAGGAGGCAGAAGUCAUUAACCAGAAG
Molecule: non-coding RNA, 265 nt
Filed under: Homo sapiens (human)
Lineage: Eukaryota; Metazoa; Chordata; Mammalia; Primates; Hominidae
Source: RNAcentral